RNAcentral lists this ribosomal RNA (253 nucleotides) under uncultured bacterium. RNAcentral's name for it is "partial 16S ribosomal RNA". It matches the Rfam family "Bacterial small subunit ribosomal RNA", at positions 524 to 776 of the family's 1533-position model. The record is from RNAcentral.
UACGGAGGAUGCAAGCGUUAUCCGGAAUGAUUGGGCGUAAAGCGUCCGCAGGUGGCUAUGUAAGUCUGCUGUUAAAGAGUGAGGCUCAACCUCAUAAGAGCAGUGGAAACUACAUGACUAGAGUGCGUUCGGGGCAGAGGGAAUUCCUGGUGUAGCGGUGAAAUGCGUAGAUAUCAGGAAGAACACCGGUGGCGAAAGCGCUCUGCUAGGCCGCAACUGACACUGAGGGACGAAAGCUAGGGGAGCGAAUGGG